Molecule: long non-coding RNA, 1320 nt
Organism: Triticum dicoccoides
Lineage: Eukaryota; Viridiplantae; Streptophyta; Magnoliopsida; Poales; Poaceae
Exons: 2
Source: RefSeq, a predicted model, not a curated record
AGCUUUCUAUGUAACCUAACCUGACAUCCUUGUCCUCCCAGAAGAUCUCUUCUUGGUAGCACUGGGGCAUCAAGACAUGUUUGUGCAACUCACCUGUAGGUCAUUGGAAGAUGAAACCAGUCAAAAAAUUACAACAUGUUAUUUUCUAAAGGACGAUGGUAAGCAUAAGUUUUACUUUCUGUCAAUUGAAUAUUGCAUUUUAUCAUGCUCUUAUUUUCAGCGCUGUCGACAUCUUCAAGGAUGAACAGAUCAAGAACAGACACAUGACUGGGCUGCUCUUGCUUUUUAUAGUUUUCCUCUUGUGAUAUCGGUUCAAGUGACGUGCCUGGCACUGGUCUCGGAGUUUUUGGCUCUUGGUGCUCCAGCAUCUCAAUGACAUUCUCAGGGGAGCCUGGACAAACCUCGGCAUGCUCUUUCCCUGGUUUUGCUCUUUCCAUCAUUUCCUUCAGUGCAGGCAUUAAAAGAACUUAGACUAGUACAUCACCGAAGACUAGAUGCAAUACCAAUAAACAUUGGCUUGAACAAUAACCUACUAGGGGUGAGUUAUAUCUUUGUUGCUCUCCUGGGAUGCAUUGUGCGCUGCCAAUUGUUUCAGAGUGAUUGAUCUGGAUUUUCAGUUUCAUCAAUACAAACAAUAUCAAGUUAAACACCUGCAAGUAUUCGCAUUCUGUUAAAACAAUAUCCAUGCAGUAUUUGAUAAUUUUGUAAUCUGUAGUCACUCACCUUGUUGUGUGUUUUGUUGAUUGUAAUAUCUUUCUUGAUCAGCUUGUUCAAUCGGUGCUUCACUAGUACUGUACCGCAUUCAACACUCCCUGAAUCUUCCUCUGAUCUAUUUCCUUCUUCUGCAGAUUCUUCCCCCCUCAGCCUUGUGCCUGGCACAUAUAUUUUUUCUCUUAGUGAGAAUGUUCGUUCAAUGCAGUUUUUACCCUUGGGGUACUCCUAGGUGAUGAUGGGGUACUGCAUUGAGUGAAGGAAAGCAUUUUUCUACCAAGGACCUUGAGACCUGAACUGUUGGACUUGGAUACUUGUGUAACUUACCGGCUAGUGAGCAAUUUCCGGCCAGAAAAUGAAACGACCGAGCAAGGCAUGUAUUUUUUACAGAGGUAUUUGAAACGAAAACGCUGGUCCAAACAGGCCCUAAAUGUUUCCUUUGAGGUACAUGUAUACUGGGCAUUACCUUGUCCCUCUGGGUAUCAUAGGCGAAUUCUUGGUCCCUUCAGUACGGUAGCGGCAACAGGCUUAGGUCCAAAAGUACUGCAUAUGAUCUUUGUCCUGCAUAUUUUCUCUGCACAGUGGUGCUCGUACAGAUUUUGGAGGAAG